RNAcentral lists this ribosomal RNA (468 nucleotides) under uncultured bacterium. RNAcentral describes it as "partial 16S ribosomal RNA". It matches the Rfam family "Bacterial small subunit ribosomal RNA", at positions 28 to 507 of the family's 1533-position model. The record is from RNAcentral.
GACGAACGCUGGCGGCGUGCUUAACACAUGCAAGUCGAACGGCAAGGCCCUGCUUUUGUGGGGUGCUCGAGUGGCGAACGGGUGAGUAACACGUGAGUAACCUGCCCUUGACUUUGGGAUAACUUCAGGAAACUGGGGCUAAUACCGGAUAGGAGCUCCUGCUGCAUGGUGGGGGUUGGAAAGUUUCGGCGGUUGGGGAUGGACUUGCGGCUUAUCAGCUUGUUGGUGGGGUAGUGGCUUACCAAGGCCUUGCCGGGUAGCCGGCCUGAGAGGGUGACCAGCCACAUUGGGACUGAGAUACGGCCCAGACUCCUACGGGAGGCAGCAGGGGGGAAUAUUGCACAAUGGGCGGAAGCCUGAUGCAGCAACGCCGCGUGCGGGAUGACGGCCUUCGGGUUGUAAACCGCUUGCGCCUGUGACGAAGCGUGAGUGACGGUAAUGGGUAAAGAAGCACCGGCUAACUACGUG